GGGACAACCACUGGAAACGGUGGCUAAUACCGGAUACGACCUGUCACCGCAUGGUGUGUAGGUGGAAAGUUUUUCGGCUGGGGAUGGGCUCGCGGCCUAUCAGCUUGUUGGUGGGGUGAUGGCCUACCAAGGCGACGACGGGUAGCCGGCCUGAGAGGGCGACCAGCCACACUGGGACUGAGACACGGCCCUGACUCCUACGGGAGGCAGCAGUGGGGAAUAUUGCACAAUGGGCGAAAGCCUGAUGCAGCGGCGCCGCGUGAGGGAUGACGGCCUUCGGGUUGUAAACCUCUUUCAGCUCCGAAGAAGCGAAAGUGACGGUAGGAGCAGAAGAAGCACCGGCUAACUACGUGCCAGCAGCCGCGGUAAUACGUAGGGUGCAAGCGUUGUCCGGAAUUAUUGGGCGUAAAGAGCUCGUAGGCGGUGUGUCGCGUCUGCUGUGAAAACUCAGGGCUCAACUCUGAGCUUGCAGUGGGUACGGGCACACUUGAGUGCUGUAGGGGAGACUGGAAUUCCUGGUGUAGCGGUGAAAUGCGCAGAUAUCAGGAGGAACACCGGUGGCGAAGGCGGGUCUCUGGGCAGUUACUGAAGCUGAGGAGCGAAAGCAUGGGGAGCGAACAGGAUUAGAUACCCUGGUAGUCCAUGCCGUAAACGUUGGGCCCUAGGUGUGGGGUCCAUUCCACGGAUUCCGUGCCGCAGCUAACGCAUUAAGCGCCCCGCCUGGGGAGUACGGCCGCAAGGCUAAAACUCAAAGCAAUUGACGGGGGCCAGCACAAGCGGCGGAGCAUGCGGAUUAAUUCGAUGCAACGCGAAGAACCUUACCAAGGCUUGACAUGCGCGGUGGAAUCCCAGAGAUGGGGUGUCAUUUAGUUGGUCGCGUACAGGUGGUGCAUGGUUGUCGUCAGCUCGUGUCGUGAGAUGUUGGGUUAAGUCCCGCAACGAGCGCAACCCUCGUUCCAUGUUGCCAGCACGUAGUGGUGGGGACUCAUGGGAGACUGCCGGGGUCAACUCGGAGGAAGGUGGGGAUGACGUCAAAUCAUCAUGCCCCUUAUGUCUUGGGCUUCACGCAUGCUACAAUGGCCAGUACAGAGGGCUGCGAUACCGUGAGGUGG
Molecule: ribosomal RNA, 1112 nt
Filed under: uncultured bacterium
Lineage: Bacteria
Description: bacterial SSU rRNA
Rfam family: Bacterial small subunit ribosomal RNA
Source: RNAcentral